UACGUAGGGAGCAAGCGUUGUUCGGAUUUACUGGGCGUAAAGGGCGCGUAGGCGGCGCGGUAAGUCACCUGUGAAAUCUCUGAGCUUAACUCAGAACGGCCAAGUGAUACUGCAGUGCUAGAGUGCAGAAGGGGCAAUCGGAAUUCUUGGUGUAGCGGUGAAAUGCGUAGAUAUCAAGAGGAACACCUGAGGUGAAGACGGGUUGCUAGGCUGACACUGACGCUGAGGCGCGAAAGCCAGGGGAGCAAACGGG
Molecule: ribosomal RNA, 253 nt
Filed under: uncultured bacterium
Lineage: Bacteria
Description: partial 16S ribosomal RNA
Rfam family: Bacterial small subunit ribosomal RNA
Source: RNAcentral